Gossypium arboreum is the source of this 551-nucleotide long non-coding RNA. RefSeq lists it as uncharacterized. The record is from RefSeq and is a predicted model, not a curated record. The transcript is spliced from 2 exons. Lineage: Eukaryota; Viridiplantae; Streptophyta; Magnoliopsida; Malvales; Malvaceae.
AUAAUGGCGUUUUGGUUUAAAGGUUGAAUGAUAAAUUAUAAUAAAGCGAGAUGAUAUGAGAUGCCGAAUGUGAUUGACAAGUAAACAUUAUUGAUAAAAAUAUUGAAUACUUCUACUUGUAUUCGUUAAGCUCAAGAGCAAAGGGGAGCUAAAUCCGAUAAAGGGAAGGAAAAAGUGGUCGAAUAGCCGUUGAAGCCGUCCGACGACAUCCGAGAUUUUGCUCGUUAGCGAUCGGAUUCGGGAUCAUUAAAGUCGAAGUCAUCUACACUAUCAAAGCCUCCAUUUUGGUAUAAUUUUGGUUGAACUUUGAAAUGGCAUGUAUAGGACUACCCUAUUGUUGAAGGUCAUGUACCUUUCGGUUUUGUGUAAGCUUGGAUAGCCAUGCGAAAAUGGCUUAUAUACGUUUUUAGUAUGAUUCUAUAAUCGUUUGUAUGAUGAUCAUUAUGGGGUAUGGAAUUGUUUGAAAAGAUUAGCCAUUGGAAUGGUUAAUCGUGAUCACACUUUGUGCUAUGUAUGCAAAAAGGGCCAAUUGAAUCGUGGAAAUCAUGAAA